This is a long non-coding RNA of Passer domesticus (house sparrow), 4215 nucleotides long. RefSeq lists it as uncharacterized. The record is from RefSeq and is a predicted model, not a curated record. The transcript has 5 exons. NCBI's taxonomy places the organism in Eukaryota, Metazoa, Chordata, Aves, Passeriformes, Passeridae.
AGAGCGGGCAGGGCAGGGCAGGGCUAGGAGGGAGCACGGAGGGUCAGCUGGUCCAGCCUCCAUCGUGCCGCCUUCCUGCUCAAGCGGGGCCAUCCCUGAGCAGCUGGCAUGGGAUUGCAUCCAGGCGGUUCCGGAGCAUCUCCAGUGGGGCAGACUCCGCAGCUUCUCUGGGCAAUCAGUGCUCAGUCACACAGUACAGAAGUUCUUCCUCACAUUCGCCUGGAACCUCCCGUGUUUCUGCCCUCUGCCUCCUGUCCUAUCGCUUGACCCCACUGAGAGAGCCUGGCUCCAUUCUCUUGAUAUCUCCCUUCAGAUAUCUGUACAUCCUUUCUGGAGAAUCCUCUGGGAUCCCGGCAGGUGCAGGCUGAGGUGCCCAGCUCUCAGGGCAGGCAGGGCAGGAUCGUGCUUUGGUUUAUGCGGGUGUUAAUUUCAGCACCUGUCCAAACACAGGCUUGAUAAUAUUAAAAUUAAAAUUCCUAUUGUGAGAUUUUGUGCUUUUUUUUCUUCAGGGAAAACCACUAAAGUAACAUUUUUUUGUGAAUAAAUAGUUGCUAAGUACAAUUCCUCAAUAAAAAGAAGGAAUAUUUCGCUGUCUUCCUCACCUCUGCCAGUUCCCCCAGUGUGUGGGGUUUCACCCUUACAGUGCAUUUUUGGGAGCAUCUGGAAGCUGCAGCAGGUCUCGGUGGCUGCAGUGCUCCUGCCGGGUCAUCCCUGUGGGGCUGUGCUGGCACCAGGCGGGUGAGUUCAUCAGAAACACGGACUGUGACAGGCAGCAAACAACGGGGAGGUGAUGAGUUCCUGCUCUGGAGAUUCCAGCUGGAUCCUUGAUUUAUUGUCUGUCACCUGGGAGCAGCGAAGCUCUUGGAUAUCAUCAGCACCAAUUGUGCCUGAAAAUCACUCGCAGGGAUGCUUUUUAUGUUGGGCCUCCAAAAUCUGGGGCAUCUCUGUGACUUUUGACUUCAGUAAGAUUUGGCACAUGACUUAGAGAAUAACGACCACUGGUCAUUCCUGGUUUACAUGUAAGAUUUGGUGAGUUCUGUGGAUGAAAUAUGGCAUGUCAUAUUAAUAUAGAAUAUUCCAUGUGAAUCAACAGAAAAUACCAGAUAUAGGUAAUACCCUAAAAUUUCCCAUUGCUCACAGUAUUGCCAAAUAGCACAAAUAUCAAGUUUGAUGUUUUCUAUUUGUAAAAUGUCCCUUAGCUUGGACUUCUAAGCAAACUAGGUGCAAUUUCUCUCUAUUUUUAAACACAGGCACAAAAAUGUUUGUUCCUGUAUUUUCUGCUCUUCUCUGAAAUGGGUAUUUUGGAUGAGGAGGUAUUUAGUGAUUGGGACUGUGGUGGCCCAUAUGGCAGAGAAGUACCUUUUGCCACCUCAAUUUGAAUUUGUAUAAGUAAAAAUUCAGCAUAGCUUUGCAGUGUGAUAGAAUUAUAAUCGUAGAGGAAUAGAAGUUACAAGAACGAAAUGUUAAGGAGACCUCAAAUUCUGGAAGUGUCUGGAAAAGACAGAAAUCCAAUUGUUCUAGUGAAUUUAAUUUGGAUAAUCACUUGUGCAACAUUUAUGAGAAGUUGAUGUUUUAUGGUAAUUUCAAAUGUUAUUUUGGACAAUAUGGGACAUCACUGGGGAUGCUGUUGGUUCUCCAAAGUUUGAGAUGGGCAAAACUGACUGCAAAUGCUGGAAAGAAAAGGGUUCUAGUAAAAUAAAGAAUUAGAUUAUAGCGGAGGGAAGUAGAUGGAGAGAGACUAUUCACACUAAAAAUACCAGUAGAUCUCAACGUCCUUCAGCAAUCAAAAACCUGCUCUGAAAUGAUUUCUCAUAUUCUCUAUAAUGAGUUUCUCCCUAAAUCUUUGAAACUACUAGCUUCUUUGAGGAUUAUCUGUCCUGGCAAGAGCAACAAUAAGAUAAAUGUUCUCUUUCAAAACCUGCCUCAACACACUUGUCAAUAUUUACCAUAUAUUUAUAACUUGACACGGUGAAGGAUUGAUGAGAUCAUUACAGUGGAUUAGGAUGACUCAUUUCCCUGUCCUCCAUGACUGCUGCUGCUUAGCUCUUUACUUCUCCCGACCGCCCAAAGGAGAAACUCUGACGUGUUCUGAGCAGGCUUCCAGAGACUUGGAAGAAAUCAAUCCAUUCUUUUACAGUCCUUGAAGAUGUCCAAAGGAUUCUUCUAACAAAUUUUCUGUGUAAAACCAGCACUCAAGUGAUUUUUCAUUCAUCUUGCAGUUGUUAGUCAUUAGACUCCACAAACAUUAGGAAAUUUGUGUCAUUCACAAUCUCUUGCUUUCCACAAGCAAAACUCUAAAUAUCAAUAAAAUCAGAAUUUGACUUUCACUUCUGUACAAUCUUUCAGAUCCUAUGGUACAGUGAGUGGUACCAUAUUCCAGUCCUCUUCCAGGUUUGCUGUGGCAAGUAGGAUGAAAAUAAUUUCCUAUAGGUUUUCCCACUGUUCUCAGCAGCAGAAUUAUGCCUUACUUUUGUGGCUGUGGGAAAUUCUUUCCUCUGUCUGAUGUUGUAGGUUUAGGAAUAUUCUGGUAGGGUUAUGACUAGAACUGUUUAUGAUGAGAAAGCACUUUUUAUAGCUACUGUUUGCCUGAACCCUGCUGAUCUAUUUAUACACCCAGUCUGUUCAAAGAUGAUAGCAAUUAUUAGUGAAAAUAGAUUAGGAAAUAGUGAGGGAUUAGCCCAUGUCUACAGGCUAAUUUUGUUCUGCCAUGAAAUCAGCUGCAGGGUGUUGUGAUCAUACUUUGAACAGGAGGGUAAAAGACACAUUCAUACUGUUCUCAACCUAUUCACCUGAAAGAAAAGCAGUUGCUUUGGACUUACAUUGUAUCUCAGAGGAAGAGCUCUUCUUGUGUAGCUCUAUGAAUUAAAAAAAAAAUAUUAACAACAAAACGGUUCUGGGUUUUGGUCCUUAUCUACUCCUAAUUUCAGGAUAUUUUUCUGAAUUGCCUAAGGCUCUUUUUCACUAUAUAGUACCUCUAGAUUUCCUGAUAAAGAAUGAUCUGAAACAAAUACAGACAUUUUACUAAGGAGCAAAAGUUGUCUAAAUCCGGAUUUGCAGUAACAAAUUUAGAAAAUAAAAUAUCUUGCAAGUAAGUUGUUAGACACAUAGGAGUCUAUCAAGAGCUGGAGAAUACUUUCAAUCUUUGUAUGGAUUCACACACAGCAAAAAUAUGUUGGUGGUCUGACAUCCCAGAGUGGCUUUGAAUUGUCUGAAUCACCAAGCUGCAUCAUAAUGACUCAUUCUUGUUGCGUACUGACAUCCCUGCUGGGAAAGAGCUGCUGUCUCUCUUGUAGCAAUUUCAGCUGGCACAUUUUUGUUUUCUCCUCCCAAUGAAGUUUCUGUCCUAACAGACAUCUACAGUGGAGGAGAGGCAUUGUUUUGCAGUGCUAGAGGUGCUGUCAUAGUCCAGGCUUAGAAUUGUGCUGCACCAGAACCCAGCUAAGGACACCUUCUUACACACUGCUUAAAAUACUUGUAGAAGUAUGGGCGAAAGUUUUCUGUGGCUGAAAACUUGGAAUUUCAAGGUGAGAGAACAGGACUUCUGGAGACAUCCAAGCCAUUGCUUAGGAGUACAUGAUUGUCAUAUUUGUUUCUUCCUGAAUAGGAGCGGCAGAAUUACAGAGGAGCACUAAUCCAUACAUUUAUGCACAUCUUUCACCCAGAGGAAAUUCCAGAGGAAACCAUCAAGUCCUGCAGAGGCACCAUCAUUAUGUCUGCAUACGGAGAGUGCUGUGCUACAGCUGCAGAGCAGAACGUUCAGUGUGCAGCAGUCAGUGAACAAGGGCUUGCUCUCAUGGAGCACAAGGUCUCAGGGACUGCCCAGCUGUUUCCUUUUCUGCAGACACUGGCUUCACCAGUCAGAAAUGCUUGGCAUUGCUGUCUGUGAAGCACCACGAAACACUCCUGCCUAACACUCCUGUGGUGCCUUACUCUUCCUCGGGCAGAGUGGCUACAGCAAUUCCAAAGGCUGGUAACAUCCCACACUACACCACAGAACUGUAGUGUCAACAGUCAAUCCUGGGCCAAAGGCAGCACCAAAAAACAUGGAGUAAAAUUCCAUAAUUUUCCAUCUAACUAGGAGCUUGCUGACCUUUGCACUUUUGAAAAUAGUAUCUGCUGAAUUUUAAAACAUUUUCUACAAAAUCAUCUUAACAGUGAAAACCACAGGAUCUGAAUGGAUGGUUAGAAACUGUGAUCUGUCUGUACAGGUUUCUA